RNAcentral lists this ribosomal RNA (310 nucleotides) under uncultured bacterium. Its description in RNAcentral is "bacterial SSU rRNA". It matches the Rfam family "Bacterial small subunit ribosomal RNA", at positions 30 to 334 of the family's 1533-position model. The record is from RNAcentral.
AUUGAACGCUGGCGGCAGGCCUAACACAUGCAAGUCGAGCGGUAACAGGAAGUAGCUUGCUACUUCGCUGACGAGCGGCGGACGGGUGAGUAAUGCCUAGGAAAUUGCCCUGAUGUGGGGGAUAACCAUUGGAAACGAUGGCUAAUGCCGCAUAACGCCUACGGGCCAAAGAGGGGGACCUUCGGGCCUCUCGCGCUAAGAUUAGCCCAGGUGGGAUUAGCUAGUUGGUGGGGUAACGGCUCACCAAGGCGACGAUCCCUAGCUGGUCUGAGAGGAUGAUCAGCCACACUGUAACUGAGACACGGUCCAG